This 445-nucleotide ribosomal RNA is filed under the name uncultured bacterium. RNAcentral's name for it is "bacterial SSU rRNA". It matches the Rfam family "Bacterial small subunit ribosomal RNA", at positions 29 to 518 of the family's 1533-position model. The record is from RNAcentral.
AACGAACGCUGGCGGCAGGCCUAACACAUGCAAGUCGAGCGAACCCUUCGGGGUUAGCGGCGGACGGGUUAGUAACGCGUGGGAAUAUACCCUUUGGUACGGAAUAGCCUCGGGAAACUGAGAGUAAUACCGUAUGUGCCCUUCGGGGGAAAGAUUUAUCGCCAAAGGAUUAGCCCGCGUUGGAUUAGAUAGUUGGUGGGGUAAUGGCCUACCAAGUCUACGAUCCAUAGCUGGUUUGAGAGGAUGAUCAGCAACACUGGGACUGAGACACGGCCCAGACUCCUACGGGAGGCAGCAGUGGGGGAAUCUUAGACAAUGGGCGCAAGCCUGAUCUAGCCAUGCCGCGUGGACGACGAAGGCCUUAGGGUUGUAAAGUCCUUUCAGAUGGGAAGAUAAUGACGGUACCAUCAGAAGAAGCCCCGGCUAACUCCGUGCCAGCAGCCGC